UGGGGAAUAUUGGGCAAUGGGCGAAAGCCUGACCCAGCGACGCCGCGUGAGGGAAGAAGGUCUUCGGAUUGUAAACCUUUGUAGACAGGGACGAAGAAAUGACGGUACCUGUAAAGUAAGCCACGGCUAACUACGUGCCAGCAGCCGCGGUAAUACGUAGGUGGCAAGCGUUAUCCGGAUUUAUUGGGUGUAAAGGGUGAGUAGGCGGGCUGACAAGUCAGAUGUGAAAUGUUCGGGCUUAACCUGAGAACUGCAUUUGAAACUGCCAGUCUUGAGUGUCGGAGGGGUAAUCGGAAUUCCCGGUGUAGCGGUGAAAUGCGUAGAGAUCGGGAGGAACACCAGUGGCGAAGGCGGAUUACUGGACGACAACUGACGCUGAUACACGAAAGCGUGGGGAGCAAACAGGAUUAGAUACCCUGGUAAU
Molecule: ribosomal RNA, 424 nt
Filed under: uncultured Pseudoflavonifractor sp.
Lineage: Bacteria; Bacillati; Bacillota; Clostridia; Eubacteriales; Oscillospiraceae
Description: bacterial SSU rRNA
Rfam family: Bacterial small subunit ribosomal RNA
Source: RNAcentral